UACGUAGGGUGCGAGCGUUAAUCGGAAUUACUGGGCGUAAAGUGUGCGCAGGCGGCCGAGCAAGUCGAGUGUGAAAGCCCCGGGCUUAACUUGGGAAUUGCGCUCGAAACUACUUGGCUGGAGUGUGGCAGAGGGGGGUGGAAUUCCACGUGUAGCGGUGAAAUGCGUAGAGAUGUGGAGGAACACCAAUGGCGAAGGCAGCCCCCUGGGCCAACACUGACGCUCAUGCACGAAAGCGUGGGGAGCAAACAGG
Molecule: ribosomal RNA, 253 nt
Filed under: uncultured bacterium
Lineage: Bacteria
Description: partial 16S ribosomal RNA
Rfam family: Bacterial small subunit ribosomal RNA
Source: RNAcentral